CGUAAUUGGAUAGAUGAUAGAAAAGAGGUCAACUUUCUUCUUCCGCUGAUUUUGAAAUAUUGCGUUUAAUUCAUUUUUCAAAUCAAUUAGAUAAUAUCAAUGAAUUUUUUGGUCAGCAGCAACUCUAGUUUUGGAAAAUUGUUUAUAUUUUCAGCUGGAUUGUUAUCUUAUGGAAUUAUUUACCAGUCAGUUUCCAAAUACAAGACUUUGCAAACAAUCGGUUAUCAGUUCAACAAAAACAGACCGUUGGCAUCUGACUUUAGAAGCCCCGAACAACAAAAGACUUCUGUUAUAUCUGCGGAGCCAAAAGACUUCAAUAAAAUAUACAUAAACUACCCCUACUCGAUUGGUGAAAAAUCGACGACGGAGCUCGCCCACUUAGUUCUGUCAAACUGCAGGGUUACUCAGUUUUUUGAAAGACAGGAUUUCAACGCUUCCAAUGACACAGUCGACAAUCACGAGUUGUUUAAACGAACCGAAAAGCUGGCUGGCGAUAUCCGACACCCAAAAAGACGAUACCGAUUUGAUCCAAGAGACAAAAAGGCGUACAGUUUCUGCUUGAACACCAAAUCCGGCAGUACUUUUCUGACGAGAUCUUUAUUGAAACGGGGAUCUAAGGCAACUGUGAAGGAGGCAACUGGACACAUCAAUGCGUUCAUCGUCAUCCGAGAACCCAUGCACAGAAUGCUUUCAGGCAAGAUCAACAGAGGUCAAAUUUUUAGAUAAUUAACUUCAGCUGAUUGGUUACUUUAACUAUUCCGAAAAAAAACGAACUAAGUCCAUUAAAGUCUAACAAAAUUGAAUAAAGUGAGUUUAAGUCCGGGGUGGCUCACUCAUAGAGUAAUUUCAGAUGAGGUACACCGUCUGUUUGUCACGCUCUUCAGAUGAGGUACACCAUCUUAUUUUCGGCCGGAUAGAUUCGUGCAACUUCUUAGUCUAAUACCAAUGUUAAUCUUACUCGUAUAUCUCCUAGUCUCAAUAGACCUAGUGUAUACUGGUAUUUGCGAGGCUUGAUAUCAAGAACUAUCCUGAGGAAGAGCAACUGUUUGCUAAGUUAAAUUUAUUCUCUUCUGGCUGAAACUGUAAAUAGUUUCCGCCUUACAAAUUAUUGUAAGUUUUACUUAUGGAUCAUGAUUGGUUACUUCUAAGUAUUUUACAGAGAUAGUUUAUCAAGAAUAUAAUAGGAUAAAAUAAAUACUUGUUUUGAACUUGUUCCAAAAAGUCAAAUCAAGCGUCGAGCACCUCAGCGGGGCGCCUCUGAAAAAUUCAAAAUUGUAGAUCGAAACUGAAAAGUUGAGUAGGUUUUCUAUGAAUAUUUGUAAGCAACAAUCAGUAGUUAAAUGGGGGAGGUAAGUAAUUACGGGCUGCUCAAUAUUGCGAUCCCCUAUAGCAGCCUUAAAUACUGCGAAGGCAUAUUUGGCGCCAAUUCCGCAUUUUGAGGAUUUUUAUCCACCAUCAAAACUCUGAGAACAUGCGUUUUGUGACAUGUAAACGUUUUUGUUUGCAAUUUUUUGAGGAAAAAGGCAGCUUUUUUGAUGCACGCUCCCGUUUCCUGUGCCACUCACUUUUAGAAAGAAAUCAAAAAGAGCUGCCAAAACCAAUAGUAGGAAAAAAUGGGCCAACCCAAAUUGAGAAGUCAAAAUCUAUUUAACACGCUAUUGGUGUUUAUAGUGAAACGCAAGCGCUCGAGACUUCGAUGUUUUUCAGUAGAAGUCAAACUGGUUUCAAAUUUUUGUCGAAAAGUCACCUUUUUCGGAAAAAUGGUUUAUCUUUGAAACAUUUUAAAACCCCAUUACACAGAGCAUCUCAAUUUACUCCUGCGAGCAAUGAUAUUUUUCAGCGUUCCUAAACAAAUUGCGAGAAUGCCAACCCAAGAUAUGCUCAGCUUGGAGAGGCUUUGCAAAAAACAUUGCCCUGUACGUCAAAAACAGCCACAAGACUGCGUCUAAACUGUACGAGAUACCAAUGCAAGGAGUGAAAACCAUAGAUGUGGGAUUUCAAGAUUUCGUUGAUUAUAUCAUUCACAUGUUUUUGAGAAACAAUGGGAAAAUCCGGGACGCUUCUCCAGAUAAGCCUGUUCCUGACUGGGUGUGGUGGCAUUGGGAGUCAGUGGUUGCCGAGAGCUGUCAAGUCUGUUCUUCAAACUGGCGAGAUGUGGUCUUGUUUGAGAACCUCCAACAGCACUUAGAACAGGUACUUCCCAAGUACCCAAUCGUCUUCAAGAACGAAACGACCUUGCCUGAAAUUAAAUCAAGCGAUACGAACGCCAAAGUUAUCCAGUAUUUCAGCCAGUUGACAGAUUCUCAGAUUUGGUUUCUGGGAAAUGUGAUGUACACUUUAGAUUAUGCAAUACUUCCGUACGACUGGAACGGCUUCUUGAUGUCAAUUGGAAAAACUCAUCUAGUCAAUAAAUAACUAAUCGAAAUUCAAAAUUAUUAUUUCCAGCGUGGUGAGAGUUUAAAGGAUUCUGCUAAAAUUGAUCAAAUUGUGGGAGUUUUCCAAAAAGACAGAUUAUGCGGAUAUUCAACAUCCUCAAUUUUAGAAGGU
This is a long non-coding RNA of Symsagittifera roscoffensis, 2547 nucleotides long. RefSeq lists it as uncharacterized. NCBI's taxonomy places the organism in Eukaryota, Metazoa, Xenacoelomorpha, Acoela, Convolutidae. The transcript has 4 exons. The record is from RefSeq and is a predicted model, not a curated record.